GAUCGCCUACGGGGGGCAGCAGUGGGGAAUAUUGGGCAAUGGGCGCAAGCCUGACCCAGCAACGCCGCGUGAAGGAUGAAGGUUUUCGGAUUGUAAACUUCUGUCGCGAGGGACGAAGAAUGACGGUACCUCGUAAGAAAGCCCCGGCUAACUACGUGCCAGCAGCCGCGGUAAUACGUAGGGGGCAAGCGUUGUCCGGAUUUAUUGGGUUUAAAGGGUGCGUAGGCGGAUUGAUAAGUUAGAGGUGAAAUGUCCGAGCUCAACUCGGGAACUGCCUCUAAUACUGUUGAUCUAGAGAGUAGAUG
RNAcentral lists this ribosomal RNA (305 nucleotides) under uncultured bacterium. RNAcentral's name for it is "bacterial SSU rRNA". It matches the Rfam family "Bacterial small subunit ribosomal RNA", at positions 333 to 654 of the family's 1533-position model. The record is from RNAcentral.